This is a non-coding RNA of Acanthosepion pharaonis, 114 nucleotides long. The record is from the annotation of a GenBank genome assembly. NCBI's taxonomy places the organism in Eukaryota, Metazoa, Mollusca, Cephalopoda, Sepiida, Sepiidae.
UUAUGGCCAUAUCAUGUUGAAACAUGGGUUCCCAUAUGAUGACCAAACUUAAGGAAUGUCAAGCCUGGUCAGUACUUAGAUGGGUGACCGCUUGGGAAUACCAGGUACUGUAAG